GUUUCUGUGAAUAAGAGUUGAUGCACUUUUUUGUUUUGUACAGUACAUUAAAAACGGUAACUAGUGAUAUUUUGUGUUCCCACUAAAGAUUAAGGCAGGACUUAAAUCUUAAGUCUUAUGCUACUAGCCAAGUCUUAAAAAAGUUACUAGACACUGUAAGUCAUCAGGGGUAAAUGUCUAUCUGCCAAGUCUAAAUUUUCACUCGCUAAUGGCUAGUGGCAAUUGGAAAUUUUGAUCCCUGAUUAAGGUAUAGGUAGAAUCCAUGCAUUAUUAUUCUGUAUUAUUCUGGUUCAUUAACUAGCUCUGGGGAAUGUGGAAACAAAUGGUGAGAAUGACGUAAAAACCCCUGGGAAACAGGUAGGAGAAUUACAACUGGAAGGGGACCCAGGGGUAGAGGGAAAGUCCCUUAAAUGAGGGAAAGUCCCUUAAAUGAGGGAAAGGAGGGAAGACCCCAGAGGAGAGGGGUAGGAGGUAGCCCCACAGAAAUGGAGAUCAAAGAUGAGUAAAAUCAAUACAAGUAGACAGUAAAACAAUAUGAAGGACAGAGAGAGAAAACCAAAUCUGUACUUAUCUCUUGGAUGGAGCAGCAAAGAAAGAGGAAAU
This is a non-coding RNA of Pelobates cultripes (western spadefoot toad), 603 nucleotides long. Lineage: Eukaryota; Metazoa; Chordata; Amphibia; Anura; Pelobatidae. The record is from the annotation of a GenBank genome assembly.